UUGUUGAUGUUGUUGUUGUUGUUGUGGUUGUCGUUGUUGUUGUUGUUGUUGUUGUUGUUGUUGUUGUUGUUUGUUGUUGUUGUUGUUGUUGUUGUCGUUGUUGUCGCUGUUGUCAUCGUCAAUGUCGUCGUUGUCGUCGUCAUUGUUGUUGUCGUUGUGGUGGUGGUGGUGGUGUUGGUGGUGGUUGUUCUUAUUGUUGUUUUUGUUGUUGUUGUUGUUGUCGUUGU
Molecule: long non-coding RNA, 227 nt
Filed under: Hordeum vulgare
Lineage: Eukaryota; Viridiplantae; Streptophyta; Magnoliopsida; Poales; Poaceae
Description: long non-coding RNA (HVUL_LNC021410)
Source: RNAcentral